RNAcentral lists this ribosomal RNA (497 nucleotides) under uncultured bacterium. Its description in RNAcentral is "partial 16S ribosomal RNA". It matches the Rfam family "Bacterial small subunit ribosomal RNA", at positions 28 to 507 of the family's 1533-position model. The record is from RNAcentral.
GAUGAACGCUGGCGGCGUGCCUAAUACAUGCCAGUCGAGCGAACAGACGAGGAGCUUGCUCCUCUGACGUUAGCGGCGGACGGGUGAGUAACACGUGGAUAACCUACCUAUAAGACUGGGAUAACUUCGGGAAACCGGAGCUAAUACCGGAUAAUAUAUUGAACCGCAUGGUUCAAUAGUGAAAGACGGUUUUGCUGUCACUUAUAGAUGGAUCCGCGCCGCAUUAGCUAGUUGGUAAGGUAACGGCUUACCAAGGCGACGAUGCGUAGCCGACCUGAGAGGGUGAUCGGCCACACUGGAACUGAGACACGGUCCAGACUCCUACGGGAGGCAGCAGUAGGGAAUCUUCCGCAAUGGGCGAAAGCCUGACGGAACAACGCCGCGUGAGUGAUGAAGGUCUUCGGAUCGUAAAACUCUGUUAUUAGGGAAGAACAAAUGUGUAAGUAACUAUGCACGUCUUGACGGUACCUAAUCAGAAAGCCACGGCUAACUACGUG